AUUGCCAUCCAUCAGUAAAUGCCAUAUCACCUAACAUCCAUUAGUAGAUGUUGUAGAAACAUCCAUCAGUAGAUGUUAUCAUCACUACCAUCAGAAGCAGCACAUAAUCCUAAAAAAAUAAAAUAAAAUCUAAUAAAUAAAAGAAAAGAAAAGAAAAAGAUUUAGAAACGGGGUUAGAAACUGGGUUGCCUCUCAGGUAGCGCUUCUUUAACGUCAUUAGCUUGACCCGGUAAAGUCCAAACACCCCUCAGUAGGUGUUGAUUUUUAACGUUGGCGUUCUUCCUUCCUUCAUGACACCAACAAUCUUCUUGUCAC
RNAcentral lists this long non-coding RNA (315 nucleotides) under Vigna radiata. Its description in RNAcentral is "long non-coding RNA (VRAD_LNC006445)". Lineage: Eukaryota; Viridiplantae; Streptophyta; Magnoliopsida; Fabales; Fabaceae. The record is from RNAcentral.